This 251-nucleotide ribosomal RNA is filed under the name uncultured prokaryote. Its description in RNAcentral is "partial 16S rRNA". It matches the Rfam family "Bacterial small subunit ribosomal RNA", at positions 525 to 775 of the family's 1533-position model. The record is from RNAcentral.
ACGGAGGUUGCGAGCGUUGUUCGGAAUUACUGGGCGUAAAGGGAGCGCAGGCGGUCCGGUCAGUCUAAAGUGAAAUCCCGGGGCUUAACCUUGGAAGUGCUUUGGAUACUGCCGGACUUGAGUACGUGAGAGGAGAGCGGAAUUCCAGGUGUAGCGGUGAAAUGCGUAGAUAUCUGGAGGAACACCUGUGGCGAAAGCGGCUCUCUGGCACGAAACUGACGCUGAGGCUCGAAAGCGUGGGGAGCAAACGG